Xiphias gladius (swordfish) is the source of this 2430-nucleotide long non-coding RNA. RefSeq lists it as uncharacterized. The transcript is spliced from 3 exons. NCBI's taxonomy places the organism in Eukaryota, Metazoa, Chordata, Actinopteri, Istiophoriformes, Xiphiidae. The record is from RefSeq and is a predicted model, not a curated record.
CAACCCACGGGGUGUUCAUUAGCUCAAAACACGAAAUAGUGUUACUGUUAUGUCAUUGUAGCCCAGUGUCUAUAGCGUUUCAUCCCUGGAGAUUAGGCUGAGUGUGUUAGUGUGUUGCGUUAACUUUUACACGGCUGCUAUUUGCCAAAUGCGGCUUGCUAACGCUAACUGUAACGUUGAGCUAGCAGACUCAGGUUGAAGUUACCUAGCCAGCUAAAUGUCAACUAGCUAUCUCCGGCACAUUUGGAUUGUGGCACUUUCACUUACCAAAAUCAGUUUGAACUCAUGUAUUUGCCCAUGUGUUGCGAAGACAGUCAUUAACAGAGAGUUGUCGCAGUGGUUAAAGUGCAUGGUAAAUGUCAGAAGUGUAAUUACUGAGAGUUACGUCCAAAGUGGCGCUGGAAUUUUUCCAGAGGAUUUCACUGGCCUGUGCAGAUGACCCAAUGUCCCCCUCACGUCCUCACGGCGAACCGGCCGGUCACUCCUAAAGCCGUAAAUGCAGAAUCAAAUAGAAAGCACCCACCACCAACCUACAGAUAAAGUAUCCCGCAACACUACGCUUGAGAAGUUGUAUGCCCUUGGCUUGAAGCACCUGCUGCUGAUUGCAUAUCCUCCUUAGAGGCUGCCAUGCAAAACCAAAGUAAUGAUGCCAUUGCAUUCCAACCUUAGCACAUCCGUUAAGACGUGCCUUGAAAAUGUGGUCACAAUCUACAAACUGAUGGUUCAAGGUUGGACAAGACUCAGCCUAGACCAACUUGAGGACCCCAGCACACCAGCACCACCCCAAGACACAUCCAUUCAACUGCCUCAAAAAGAUGAGGGCUUUAUCUUACAUUUGGUGCCGUGUGACCCAUCACCCAUAACCAACCACUACAGCAGGAAACAGUCAACCUACCGCCACCAAACCACGCUCCAUCCCUCCAAGAACCAGCACAACAGGUCCCAGUAGGGGUGGGAAUCUCUUGCCACCUCACGAUUCGAUUCAGUUUGAUUCGAUUCAGUUCCCAUUUCAGAGGGCUACGAUGCGAUUAUAAAAUACAUACAGUUUUAAUUCCAUGUGAAAGCACAAAAUUCAGAUAACAUAGAGAUGCACAAGGUCUUUGUCUACCUGCCACAGGGGCGGACAGUACACCUUUAUGACUGCCCUGCACCAUAUGGUAUGUCAAAUAGCUUUUGGUUAUGUACAAUUACAUCUAUUUUUUUAUCGGCCUGCGUCUUUCUUUGCCUGUUUUGCGUACUGUUGGAAUGGACUUGUCUGUGUAUUGUCUGGAGUGGAGUUUGUUAAAGAAAAAUGUUAAUACAAAAAGUUCAGUGCUGUUUAAAACUGUCAGGAUUCAGAUAUGCUAUAACUGUGAAUGCACAGCCAUAUGAAACCACAAAGUGAAAAACACUGUUUAAAUUCAAUUAUGCAAAGGCCAACAAGUAGAAAAGUUAUGAGGAUUACAUUAUUUACACAACAUUUUUCCAAUAAUUAAGCAUAUAGCUGGUCUUCAUUUCAAAAAUUUUCCAGGCCACCAUACAUGGGCUGUUGUCUUUGUGUUUGGGUCAGGCCAUGCACAAUUACCCAUCUCAUCUGCAGAUGGCACCUGAAUCCCCAAAGGGGAUCUAUAAAGGGCUUAUCUAUCAAAUGCCAUUAUUACCCUUUGGAUGGAUAAAUGAGUGUUUUUAAUUAGAGGUUUUAUUGCAAUUUUCCACAACAUUUUGGCAUUUUAAACUGCUACACUGGGCCCAUUUUUAUUCCACCUACACUCUACAUUUUUUUUUUAACAGGAUUGUCCAUUUUUUUCUUAUUUUUCCACGAGCAACAAUUACUGUGAAGAACAUUACAUACCAUGAUGUCAGUGUUCUUGAGAGUGAGAACAGAAACACUCGGUGUAGUUGAGGCCUUGCAGUAACCAAACUGUGAUGUUUUAAAUCGUGAUUAACAGUUGGUUAAUUGCCGCAUCCCUACUCUGGAACAUCUAAUACUUAAUACAGCAGCCUCACUGCACCACUUUUCAAACUAUUCCAAAACAGGGUAUACAUAUUACGAUAAUGACAAUAAACUCAAUGUGCAUAACUACUCACUAAUUCUUCUUAACCCUCUCUCCCUUCAUUUAUUUAUUUAUUUGUUUCUCAGUGAAGGACCUGGCCUCCAUCCUGGCAGCCAGCCUGAAAACAUGCAACGUACAUUUCAAACGCAUAUUUUUUUCUAUUUUUCAGUUAAUAAUUAAAACAUGCUUAACAAUGAAAUUUUUUGGUUUUUACUUUUAUUGCUCCGUAACAUUGUCAAGUUGUGUCAAAAACAAUUGAGGUCCAUUAAAAAUGAAUACCUAAGAAAUUUACUGCAACUAAUGUCAUUUUAACAACAUUAUCAUUCUGUUUUAUGGUUUUCCUUUAACAUGUUGCAGCUGCUCUAAUCUGUGUGGACUUAAUAAAGUGCAACAGUAU